UACGUAGGGUGCGAGCGUUGUCCGGAAUUACUGGGCGUAAAGAGCUCGUAGGUGGUUUGUCACGUUGUUCGUGAAAACUCACAGCUCAACUGUGGGCGUGCGGGCGAUACGGGCAGACUGGAGUACUGCAGGGGAGACUGGAAUUCCUGGUGUAGCGGUGGAAUGCGCAGAUAUCAGGAGGAACACCGGUGGCGAAGGCGGGUCUCUGGGCCGGCACUGACGCUGAGGAGCGAAAGCGUGGGGAGCGAACAGG
This 253-nucleotide ribosomal RNA is filed under the name uncultured bacterium. RNAcentral's name for it is "partial 16S ribosomal RNA". It matches the Rfam family "Bacterial small subunit ribosomal RNA", at positions 524 to 776 of the family's 1533-position model. The record is from RNAcentral.